UACGUAGGUGGCAAGCGUUGUCCGGAAUUAUUGGGCGUAAAGGGCUCGCAGGCGGUUUCUUAAGUCUGAUGUGAAAGCCCCCGGCUCAACCGGGGAGGGUCAUUGGAAACUGGGAAACUUGAGUGCAGAAGAGGAGAGUGGAAUUCCACGUGUAGCGGUGAAAUGCGUAGAGAUGUGGAGGAACACCAGUGGCGAAGGCGACUCUCUGGUCUGUAACUGACGCUGAGGCUCGAAAGCGUGGGGAGCAAACAGG
RNAcentral lists this ribosomal RNA (253 nucleotides) under uncultured microorganism. Its description in RNAcentral is "partial 16S ribosomal RNA". It matches the Rfam family "Bacterial small subunit ribosomal RNA", at positions 524 to 776 of the family's 1533-position model. The record is from RNAcentral.